Molecule: ribosomal RNA, 253 nt
Filed under: uncultured bacterium
Lineage: Bacteria
Description: partial 16S ribosomal RNA
Rfam family: Bacterial small subunit ribosomal RNA
Source: RNAcentral
UACAGAGGGGGCAAGCGUUAUUCGGAAUUAUUGGGCGUAAAGGGCGCGUAGGCGGCUUUGCAAGUGACGGGUGAAAUCCCACGGCUUAACCGUGGAACUGCCUGUCAGACUGCAUGGCUUGAGACCAGGAGAGGUGAGUGGAAUUCCCAGUGUAGCGGUGAAAUGCGUAGAUAUUGGGAGGAACACCGGUGGCGAAGGCGGCAUCCUGGACCAAUUCUGACGCUGAGGAGCGAAAGCCAGGGGAGCAAACGGG